This 76-nucleotide transfer RNA is filed under the name Pontibacillus yanchengensis. RNAcentral's name for it is "tRNA-Phe". It matches the Rfam family "tRNA". Rfam says of the family: Transfer RNA (tRNA) molecules are approximately 80 nucleotides in length. Their secondary structure includes four short double-helical elements and three loops (D, anti-codon, and T loops). The record is from RNAcentral. RNAcentral also lists the same sequence under 3 other names. Lineage: Bacteria; Bacillati; Bacillota; Bacilli; Caryophanales; Bacillaceae.
GGCUCAGUAGCUCAGUCGGUAGAGCAACGGACUGAAAAUCCGUGUGUCGGCGGUUCGAUUCCGUCCUGAGCCACCA